RNAcentral lists this ribosomal RNA (473 nucleotides) under uncultured bacterium. RNAcentral describes it as "bacterial SSU rRNA". It matches the Rfam family "Bacterial small subunit ribosomal RNA", at positions 30 to 523 of the family's 1533-position model. The record is from RNAcentral.
AUUGAACGCUGGCGGAAUGCUUUACACAUGCAAGUCGAACGGUAGAGGGGGCAACCCCCUUGAGAGUGGCGAACGGGUGAGUAAUAUAUCGGAACGUGCCCAGUCGUGGGGAUAACGUAGCGAAAGUUACGCUAAUACCGCAUACGAUCUACGGAUGAAAGCGGGGGACUCGCAAGAGCCUCGCGCGAUUGGAGCGGCCGAUAUCAGAUUAGGUAGUUGGUGGGGUAAAGGCUCACCAAGCCAACGAUCUGUAGCUGGUCUGAGAGGACGACCAGCCACACUGGAACUGAGACACGGUCCAGACUCCUACGGGAGGCAGCAGUGGGGAAUUUUGGACAAUGGACGCAAGUCUGAUCCAGCCAUUCCGCGUGCAGGAUGAAGGCCCUCGGGUUGUAAAGCUCUUUUACCCGAGAUGAUAAUGACAGUAUCGGGAGAAUAAGCUCCGGCUAACUCCGUGCCAGCAGCCGCGGUAA